AGAGUUUGUUCCUGGCUCAGGAUGAACGCUGGCGGCGUGCUUAACACAUGCAAGUCGAACGAAGCACUUUAUUUGAUUUCCUUCGGGACUGAUUAUUUUGUGACUGAGUGGCGGACGGGUGAGUAACGCGUGGGUAACCUGCCUUGUACAGGGGGAUAACAGUUGGAAACGGCUGCUAAUACCGCAUAAGCGCACGGCAUCGCAUGAUGCAGUGUGAAAAACUCCGGUGGUAUAAGAUGGACCCGCGUUGGAUUAGCUAGUUGGUGAGGUAAUGGCCCACCAAGGCGACGAUCCAUAGCCGACCUGAGAGGGUGACCGGCCACAUUGGGACUGAGACACGGCCCAAACUCCUACGGGAGGCAGCAGUGGGGAAUAUUGCACAAUGGGCGAAAGCCUGAUGCAGCGACGCCGCGUGAGCGAAGAAGUAUUUCGGUAUGUAAAGCUCUAUCAGCAGGGAAGAUAAUGACGGUACCUGACUAAGAAGCACCGGCUAAAUACGUGCCAGCAGCCGCGGUAAUACGUAUGGUGCAAGCGUUAUCCGGAUUUACUGGGUGUAAAGGGAGCGCAGGCGGUGCGGCAAGUCUGAUAUGAAAGCCCGGGGCUCAACCCCGGUACUGCAUUGGAAACUGUCGUACUAGAGUGUCGGAGGGGUAAGCGGAAUUCCUAGUGUAGCGGUUAAAUGCGUAGAUAUUAGGAGGAACACCAGUGGCGAAGGCGGCUUACUGGACGAUAACUGACGCUGAGGCUCGAAAGCGUGGGGAGCAAACAGGAUUAGAUACCCUGGUAGUCCACGCCGUAAACGAUGA
RNAcentral lists this ribosomal RNA (806 nucleotides) under uncultured bacterium. RNAcentral's name for it is "bacterial SSU rRNA". It matches the Rfam family "Bacterial small subunit ribosomal RNA", at positions 8 to 812 of the family's 1533-position model. The record is from RNAcentral.